AGCGUAGACGGUGUGGCAAGUCUGAUGUGAAAGGCAUGGGCCCAACCUGUGGACUGCAUUGGAAACUGUCAUACUUGAGUGCCGGAGGGGUAAGCGGAAUUCCUAGUGUAGCGGUGAAAUGCGUAGAUAUUUGUAGGAAUGCCGAUGGGGAAGCCAGCCCACUGGACAGAUACUGACGCUAAAGCGCGAAAGCGUGGGUAGCAAACA
This 207-nucleotide ribosomal RNA is filed under the name uncultured bacterium. RNAcentral's name for it is "partial 16S ribosomal RNA". It matches the Rfam family "Bacterial small subunit ribosomal RNA", at positions 568 to 774 of the family's 1533-position model. The record is from RNAcentral.